CGGGACGUAGCGCAGCAUGGUAGCGCACUUGACUGGGGGUCAAGUGGUCGGAGGUUCAAAUCCUCUCGUCCCGACCA
Molecule: transfer RNA, 77 nt
Filed under: Gammaproteobacteria bacterium
Lineage: Bacteria; Pseudomonadati; Pseudomonadota; Gammaproteobacteria
Description: tRNA-Pro
Rfam family: tRNA
About the family: Transfer RNA (tRNA) molecules are approximately 80 nucleotides in length. Their secondary structure includes four short double-helical elements and three loops (D, anti-codon, and T loops).
Source: RNAcentral